Long non-coding RNA from Phyllopteryx taeniolatus (common seadragon), 1079 nucleotides. RefSeq lists it as uncharacterized. The record is from RefSeq and is a predicted model, not a curated record. Lineage: Eukaryota; Metazoa; Chordata; Actinopteri; Syngnathiformes; Syngnathidae. The transcript has 3 exons.
UUUCCCCUUUCACAGCCGUCAUAUUUUUAUGAACUCCUCCUACAGAUUUUUUUUCCGAUCGACUUCAAACUUUGGGUGUCUCAUCUAACGAUAUUGAAGAUGAAAAGUUAUUCAAAGAUUUCCAUAUGGUCUAAUGCUGUUGCUGUGGAACAUGCUGUUCACCACUCUGUUGUGUUGCGCUGCGAAGUGAAAUUAAAAUGAUAUAUGUUUUUACGCAAAUACAAAUCUGAAAAGUGUGGCACGCAUUUCUAUUCAAUUGAUCCACAAUGUGCCAGUACCCCAACGUGGCCAGGGGUGCGAGGGCCCUUAACUCAUUCCCUGCCAAUGCCUUCCAAAGACGUCAUUCAAAAUUAGGCUAUUCCCUGCCAAUGCCGCCUAAAUACGUCAAUGGCGUUUUUUUAACUGGGAUGGAUGAGGGAGGGUCUUGUGCAGUUUAUGUGAGAUCGUCAAGUCUCUGGAUAACUGCAAUGAGGAAUGGCACCCUGUGGAGGGCAACAAUGCCUUGAGGUGAACGUCUCUCCCUCAGAGGAAGAAGAAGGAGGAGCCGGGAUGGAGGAUACAAUAAGAAAAGCUAAGCAUAAUGGCGGAAAAGAAAGAAGACAUUUUUUUUUUUUUUUUAAAUCUUAGAAAAAAAAGCUUUUGGUUGUACAAAUUUAUUGCGCCAACGCAAGAAAAUUUUUCCUGUGGUCGACAGGAAUGACGCCUUAGAUCAUGCAGGGAAAUAAAGGAUGACGCGCCGAGCCUUUGUUGCAAAGCUAUCGCCCCAAAAUGCCGGGGCCGUAUGGCGAGAUGCUCUCGGUCGCUUGCCGGCUGAUCGUCUGCCGACCAGGAACUGAGUAAAUGAUAUCCGGAAUCGUGAUGAGUGAACUCCCUCUGGAUCGCCUGGAAGCAGCAGAGCUUCAUCCCGAGCUUCCGCAGAAUGACAAUGGAGACGAAGAUUGUCCAUCUUGCAGUAAUUCAACACCCGCGAGUUGAACGUCUUUUAAGAUUGCGACAAAGUACGGAGGAGGAUCCGACAAUCGGCGUGUUUGGAGGAGAUCGCAAUCCACAGAGGUAUCAGGCACAACAAAACCAGAUCC